UUAGAAAUUUAGUUGAUAAAUACUGUUUGUGUUUGCUUUGUGCUUGCUUAUAUGAGAUAUUAUUAAAAAAUCUUAGAGUUGAAAUUAAUUCGAAAGUAGAGAAAAAUCAGUGUCAACUGGAGGAGUCUUUUAGAACAGAAGAAUAAAAAGGCAAAUGUUAUUGAAUGGGCUCUUAAAGCUUCCACAUUUUCUAUCCUGCUCUUUACAUUUUACUGUUUAGGUUAGCUUUCAUAUUCUAUAAAAAAAAAUAUAGAAACAAAUGUGGAACUGUGAAGUGUACAUUUGAGAACUGUUAUAGGACUGGACUUUUUGGUGUUUUCAAAUAUGAAUAUACAAUGCCUUAUAUUAUGGUAUAAGCGUGUUUUCAGAUUUUUCCCCAUUCUACUUCUCAGAUAAUCUCCCCCCUCCUUUCCACUGCCAUUUUCUUCUCCUCUCUUCAAAUGCUUUGAUUUUACCCACAAUAUGAACGUAUUUAACCAAAGUUUCAUUAUUUCUAUUGUUUGUACUUGUAUAGUAAUAUGUGGUUGUGACAUUGCUUUCUUUUUUUUUCCUGUUUCUUUUGUAUUACUCUAUUUUACAGCAAGCUAAUUUUAAAGGUGUCAAGUGUAUUUUGAUGUAUUUUGAUUUUGGGGAAGAAUUCAGAUGACAAAAGCAUCAAGAAGUCGAUCGUCGGUCUGGAAAGUUAGUGAUAAACAUCCAGAUGGUCGUAUCAGGUACGAUUUUCUCAAAUAAUUCUCGGAUUUUUGUUUUUCGCUCAUUAACUUGUUUAAUUUGUUACUGAAUUCUACCUUCCAAUUCUACCAAUAAUAUUCAACCAGGUAUUUAUUUGGAUUAAAUUUGCUGAGAUAAAAUUUCUAUGGCUGGGCUGGGAUGCAGGGGGAGGAAUUCAUUAGGUUGUUAUUAGCAAAUACCACUAUUUGUUGGGCUAGGAUGCAUAUUGGUGCUUAAAAACUCUUUCUUCACUCAACAAAUUUUAUCAAUGCUUUUAACUCAUUCCUCCAUUUGUUCAUGGAAUUAUGUAAUGAUGAUUUGAUGUAAAUCCUUACUAAUUAAGAAUCUUGGCUACAAUCUUCUUGGCUUGACAUUCAGCUAAGUUAAAGUUAAUUGUGAAAUCUUCAUUUCUUUCAUUUAGAGUUCUCUUGGCAUAUCGUUAGUUUAGUUGAUAUGUUUGUUUGCUACCAUUCAUUAUUGUAGUUUUUCACCAUUCUUCACUUGUGGAUUGUUUGGUAGGAAGUUUUGUGAGAUAAUUCUUUGUGGAAUGACUAGGUGAUUGUUAGGACAGUUCUUAUGCAAUUUUUGUAUGCAUAAGCAACCUUUUUCUCCCCUUCCCCCAUGAUUCUUUUCAAUUCUGAAAACCUCGGGUAGCUUCUAUGUUUUCUUUCCUCUUCCCGUGAUUACUCUUUUAUGUUUUCUUUCAUCAUCGUCCCAUGUUUACUCUUCUAUGUUUUCUUUCCUCUUUCCAUGUAUACUCUUGUGUCUUCUCGUGACUAUAUUUCUAUAUCUAUACCUUUUGUUCUUCUUUUAUCACAACUUUUUGGUGAACUUUUCACCUUCCUUGAAAACACAUUUGAAUCCUAAGUCAUAUUUAAAAAAAAAAAAUGAAGCGAGUUUUACUCUCUUGUCCUAUAAUGGAUGCUUAUAUUCAUGUUGUCUUUGUAGGUUCAACUGGAAUCGACAACUUCAUGAGUUUACUUUCAAAGAACACUUUCAGAGACGAACAUUCUCGGUUGGUCGUUUAUGUUUUAGCAGAAAAUCUUGUUAUAUGUAUUCUGAUGCAAUUUAAAAUAUUUUUUGAU
Long non-coding RNA from Cucumis sativus (cucumber), 1796 nucleotides. RefSeq lists it as uncharacterized. The transcript has 2 exons. The record is from RefSeq and is a predicted model, not a curated record. Lineage: Eukaryota; Viridiplantae; Streptophyta; Magnoliopsida; Cucurbitales; Cucurbitaceae.